GACGAACGCUGGCGGCGUGCUUAACACAUGCAAGUCGAACGGAAAGGCCCUGCUUUUGUGGGGUGCUCGAGUGGCGAACGGGUGAGUAACACGUGAGUAACCUGCCCUUGACUUUGGGAUAACUUCAGGAAACUGGGGCUAAUACCGGAUAGGAGCUCCUGCUGCAUGGUGGGGGUUGGAAAGUUUCGGCGGUUGGGGAUGGACUCGCGGCUUAUCAGCUUGUUGGUGGGGUAGUGGCUUACCAAGGCUUUGACGGGUAGCCGGCCUGAGAGGGUGACCGGGCCCAAUGGGGCAGGGGUACCGGCCAGACUCCUACCGGGGGCAGCAGUGGGGAAUAUUGCAAAAUGGGCGGAAGCCUGAUGCAGCAACGCCGCGUGCGGGAUGACGGCCUUCGGGUUGUAAACCGCUUUCGCCUGUGACGAAGCGUGAGUGACGGUAAUGGGUAAAGAAGCACCGGCUAACUACGUG
Molecule: ribosomal RNA, 468 nt
Filed under: uncultured bacterium
Lineage: Bacteria
Description: partial 16S ribosomal RNA
Rfam family: Bacterial small subunit ribosomal RNA
Source: RNAcentral